CAUAUUUAAUAGAAUUAAUUAUUAAUAUAGCCUGCUCAAUGCAAUGUAAAUAGCCGCAGUUCCUACUGUGCUAAGGUAGCAUAAUCAUUUGCCUUUUAAUUAAAGACUAGAAUGAAAGGUAUAACAUUUAAAUUACUAUAUAAAAUCUUUAUAUUUAAAUUUAAUUUAAAUGUAAAAAAGCAUUUAUUCUCAAGAAAGACGAUAAGACCCUAUUGAACUUAACUUUAGUUUAACUGGGGUAGUUAAAUAAUUAAUACUUUAUAUAAAAAUUUCAAUAAAAAUGACCUAACAUAAUUAAUUUAAUGAACAAGUUACCAUAGGGAUAACAGCGUAAUAUUUUUCUAUAGAUCUUAUAAAAAAAAAAGAUUACGACCUCGAUGUUGAAUUAAUUAUUCUAAUAAAAGCAAAA
RNAcentral lists this ribosomal RNA (409 nucleotides) under Heteropoda venatoria (giant crab spider). RNAcentral's name for it is "partial 16S ribosomal RNA". Lineage: Eukaryota; Metazoa; Arthropoda; Arachnida; Araneae; Sparassidae. The record is from RNAcentral.